RNAcentral lists this non-coding RNA (193 nucleotides) under Porphyridium aerugineum. Lineage: Eukaryota; Rhodophyta; Bangiophyceae; Porphyridiales; Porphyridiaceae. The record is from RNAcentral.
GCCGUGGGUUCCAUCCUUCAACGCGUCGACGGGCUGUCCAAUCAAACUUGCUGUACUACCUAAACGCGUCCUGCGCGGGCGGAGGCCGGCGCAUGGGCGCUAGUUGAACCGAUGCCAUGAACCGAGGGAGGCGAGAAAUCGAGCACCUUGAGUGGCGGCAGUAACGUAGUGUAUUGGAUCGCAGCUCUGAGCG